RNAcentral lists this ribosomal RNA (301 nucleotides) under uncultured bacterium. Its description in RNAcentral is "partial 16S ribosomal RNA". It matches the Rfam family "Bacterial small subunit ribosomal RNA", at positions 509 to 807 of the family's 1533-position model. The record is from RNAcentral.
CAGUCGCCGCGGUAAUACAGAGGUCCCGAGCGUUGUUCGGAUUCACUGGGCGUAAAGGGUAUGUAGGAGGUUUGGUAAGUCAGGUGUGAAAUCCCGCAGCUUAACUGCGGAACUGCAUUCGAUACUGCUGAACUAGAGGCUUGGAGGGGGAAGCGGAAUUCUUGGUGUAGCGGUGAAAUGCGUAGAUAUCAAGAGGAACACCGGUGGCGAAGGCGGCUUCCUGGACAAGUCCUGACUCUGAAACACGAAAGCUAGGGGAGCGAAUGGGAUUAGAUACCCGGGUAGUCCCUGUCUCUUAUAC